Molecule: ribosomal RNA, 451 nt
Filed under: uncultured prokaryote
Description: bacterial SSU rRNA
Rfam family: Bacterial small subunit ribosomal RNA
Source: RNAcentral
UAGGGAAUAUUGCGCAAUGGACGAAAGUCUGACGCAGCGACGCCGCGUGUGGGAGGAAGCCUUUCGGGGUGUAAACCACUGUCAGAGGGGAAGAACCGCGCCAUUUCGAAUAGGCUUGGCGCCUGACGGUACCCUCAGAGGAAGCGCCGGCUAACUCCGUGCCAGCAGCCGCGGUAAGACGGAGGGCGCAAGCGUUGUUCGGAAUUACUGGGCGUAAAGCGCGGGCAGGUGGUCCGUUAAGUCGUCUGUGAAAAUCCGGGGCUCAACCCCGUGAAAUGCAGGCGAUACUGGCGGACUGGAGAUCGGUAGAGGCUAGCGGAAUUCCUGGUGUAGCGGUGGAAUGCGUAGAUAUCAGGAAGAACACCCGUGGCGAAGGCGGCUAGCUGGGCCGAGUCUGACACUCAUCCGCGAAAGCGUGGGGAGCAAACAGGAUUAGAUACCCGUGUAGUCC